UUAUUUAGCCAUAUCACCCUGUAGCCCAAGACUGGUUGCCCACUGAAGCUAAUCAGGGUUGAGCAUGGUUAGUACCUGGAUGGGAGACCUCCUGGGGAAACUAGGUUGCUGCUGGAAGAG
Molecule: ribosomal RNA, 120 nt
Filed under: Sinocyclocheilus grahami
Lineage: Eukaryota; Metazoa; Chordata; Actinopteri; Cypriniformes; Cyprinidae
Source: RNAcentral